RNAcentral lists this ribosomal RNA (114 nucleotides) under Zingiber officinale. Lineage: Eukaryota; Viridiplantae; Streptophyta; Magnoliopsida; Zingiberales; Zingiberaceae. The record is from RNAcentral.
GCGAUCAUACCAACACUAAUGCACAGAAUCCCAUCAGAGCUUCGAAGUUAAGCGUGCUUGGGCGAGAGCACUAUUAGGAUGGGUGACCCCCUGGGAAGUCCUCUUGUUGCACCU